This is a small nuclear RNA of Pogona vitticeps (central bearded dragon), 183 nucleotides long. Its record names the gene U1. It matches the Rfam family "U1 spliceosomal RNA". Rfam says of the family: U1 is a small nuclear RNA (snRNA) component of the spliceosome (involved in pre-mRNA splicing). Its 5' end forms complementary base pairs with the 5' splice junction, thus defining the 5' donor site of an intron. There are significant differences in sequence and secondary structure between metazoan and yeast U1 snRNAs, the latter being much longer (568 nucleotides as compared to 164 nucleotides in human). The record is from Ensembl. NCBI's taxonomy places the organism in Eukaryota, Metazoa, Chordata, Lepidosauria, Squamata, Agamidae.
UCUCAUACCUGGCAGGGGAGAUACCAUGAUCAUCAAAGUGUUUUUCCCAGGGUGAGGCUCAUCUAUUGCACUUUGGAGGUGCUGACCCCUGUGAUUUUCCCAAAUAUGGGAAAAUCAACUGCCUAAGUGGGGGACUGUGUUUGUGGUUUCCACCUAGUUUUUCUAGAAUUACUCUUUCCCCUU